RNAcentral lists this ribosomal RNA (1372 nucleotides) under uncultured bacterium. RNAcentral's name for it is "bacterial SSU rRNA". It matches the Rfam family "Bacterial small subunit ribosomal RNA", at positions 28 to 1381 of the family's 1533-position model. The record is from RNAcentral.
GAUAAACGCUGGCGGCGUGCCUAAUACAUGCAAGUCGAGCGAACGGACGAGAAGCUUGCUUCUCUGAUGUUAGCGGCGGACGGGUGAGUAACACGUGGAUAACCUACCUAUAAGACUGGGAUAACUUCGGGAAACCGGAGCUAAUACCGGAUAAUAUUUUGAACCGCAUGGUUCAAAAGUGAAAGACGGUCUUGCUGUCACUUAUAGAUGGAUCCGCGCUGCAUUAGCUAGUUGGUAAGGUAACGGCUUACCAAGGCAACGAUGCAUAGCCGACCUGAGAGGGUGAUCGGCCACACUGGAACUGAGACACGGUCCAGACUCCUACGGGAGGCAGCAGUAGGGAAUCUUCCGCAAUGGGCGAAAGCCUGACGGAGCAACGCCGCGUGAGUGAUGAAGGUCUUCGGAUCGUAAAACUCUGUUAUUAGGGAAGAACAUAUGUGUAAGUAACUGUGCACAUCUUGACGGUACCUAAUCAGAAAGCCACGGCUAACUACGUGCCAGCAGCCGCGGUAAUACGUAGGUGGCAAGCGUUAUCCGGAAUUAUUGGGCGUAAAGCGCGCGUAGGCGGUUUUUUAAGUCUGAUGUGAAAGCCCACGGCUCAACCGUGGAGGGUCAUUGGAAACUGGAAAACUUGAGUGCAGAAGAGGAAAGUGGAAUUCCAUGUGUAGCGGUGAAAUGCGCAGAGAUAUGGAGGAACACCAGUGGCGAAGGCGACUUUCUGGUCUGUAACUGACGCUGAUGUGCGAAAGCGUGGGGAUCAAACAGGAUUAGAUACCCUGGUAGUCCACGCCGUAAACGAUGAGUGCUAAGUGUUAGGGGGUUUCCGCCCCUUAGUGCUGCAGCUACCGCAUUAAGCACUCCGCCUGGGGAGUACGACCGCAAGGUUGAAACUCAAAGGAAUUGACGGGGACCCGCACAAGCGGUGGAGCAUGUGGUUUAAUUCGAAGCAACGCGAAGAACCUUACCAAAUCUUGACAUCCUUUGACAACUCUAGAGAUAGAGCCUUCCCCUUCGGGGGACAAAGUGACAGGUGGUGCAUGGUUGUCGUCAGCUCGUGUCGUGAGAUGUUGGGUUAAGUCCCGCAACGAGCGCAACCCUUAAGCUUAGUUGCCAUCAUUAAGUUGGGCACUCUAAGUUGACUGCCGGUGACAAACCGGAGGAAGGUGAGGAUGACGUCAAAUCAUCAUGCCCCUUAUGAUUUGGGCUACACACGUGCUACAAUGGACAAUACAAAGGGCAGCGAAACCGCGAGGUCAAGCAAAUCCCAUAAAGUUGUUCUCAGUUCGGAUUGUAGUCUGCAACUCGACUACAUGAAGCUGGAAUCGCUAGUAAUCGUAGAUCAGCAUGCUACGGUGAAUACGUUCCCGGGUCU